This 139-nucleotide long non-coding RNA is filed under the name Struthio camelus australis. Its description in RNAcentral is "lncRNA (ENSSCUG00000015604.1)". The record is from RNAcentral. Lineage: Eukaryota; Metazoa; Chordata; Aves; Struthioniformes; Struthionidae.
UCUAUUUGGGUGACUUCUGCAUUUGACUGAAGGAGAAAUGGCUGGAUCCACUGGCUGAGAUCUGUAAAGACAGCUAGUCAGACAUACAGAGGAAUACAAAUAAAUUGUCCCCUGAAGAAGAAGAGCAACAGGCAUACAC